GGCCCUGUAGCUCAGUGGUUAGAGCACUGGUCUCGUAAACCAGCGGUCGUGAGUUCAAACCUCACCAGGGCCU
Molecule: non-coding RNA, 73 nt
Organism: Gavia stellata (red-throated loon)
Lineage: Eukaryota; Metazoa; Chordata; Aves; Gaviiformes; Gaviidae
Source: Rfam